UACGUAGGGUGCAAGCGUUAAUCGGAAUUACUGGGCGUAAAGCGUGCGCAGGCGGUGAUGUAAGACAGUUGUGAAAUCCCCGGGCUCAACCUGGGAACUGCAUCUGUGACUGCAUCGCUGGAGUACGGCAGAGGGGGAUGGAAUUCCGCGUGUAGCAGUGAAAUGCGUAGAUAUGCGGAGGAACACCGAUGGCGAAGGGCAAUCCCCUGGGCCUGUACUGACGCUCAUGCACGAAAGCGUGGGGAGCAAACAGG
This 254-nucleotide ribosomal RNA is filed under the name uncultured bacterium. Its description in RNAcentral is "partial 16S ribosomal RNA". It matches the Rfam family "Bacterial small subunit ribosomal RNA", at positions 524 to 776 of the family's 1533-position model. The record is from RNAcentral.